This 426-nucleotide ribosomal RNA is filed under the name Triticum aestivum (bread wheat). RNAcentral describes it as "partial small subunit ribosomal RNA". The record is from RNAcentral. Lineage: Eukaryota; Viridiplantae; Streptophyta; Magnoliopsida; Poales; Poaceae.
AUGGAGGCAGGCUGCCCGAGAGGAGUCUUUCCAUGCAAGUACCUAGGAUUGCCACUCGCCCUACGAAAGCAAUCCCACGUCCAACUAACCGACCUAGUGGACCAACUCGCUGCAGCUCUACUGAAGUGGAAGGCGGCCAAGAUGCCCAAGAGUGGAAGAAUGUUGCUAGUCCAAUCCGUGCUCUGUGCGGUGCCGUUGCACGCGAUGAUGGCGCUGGACCUCCCGCAGAAGACAAUCGCACCAAUGAACAAAAUCUGCCGCAGUUUCUUGUGGUGCGCGGAGGCAAGCUCGACCGGCGGCCAUUGUGCCGUCGCAUGGGAGACCGUGUUCUCUCCCAAAUGGGCGGGUGGACUCAGACUUCCAAACUUGAAGUGGAUGAAUACUGCCAUUGAAAGUGCGUUAUAUCGACUAGAGGGGGGUGAAUAG